RNAcentral lists this non-coding RNA (30 nucleotides) under Cricetulus griseus (Chinese hamster). Lineage: Eukaryota; Metazoa; Chordata; Mammalia; Rodentia; Cricetidae. The record is from RNAcentral.
AGGGCUGGAGAGCUGGCUCAGAGGUUAAGA